Nyctereutes procyonoides (raccoon dog) is the source of this 1327-nucleotide long non-coding RNA. RefSeq lists it as uncharacterized. The record is from RefSeq and is a predicted model, not a curated record. Lineage: Eukaryota; Metazoa; Chordata; Mammalia; Carnivora; Canidae. The transcript is spliced from 3 exons.
GGAAGAGCAAAGUGCUAGAGGCAUGAGACUGUGCAGUAUUCUGGCUUGGCAGAGUUCAGCAUUGUUGGUAGAACAGGAUUGAAGGAGUGGUGAGAGAAGACACAGAAAAAGAAUGAAGAACCUUAUACAAUAUGCUAAGGAAUGUGGACUCUUUUCUAGAAGCAAUGGAAACUCAUGCCAGGACUGUAAGCAGAUGAAAUUUUCAUAAGAUACGUAUUUUAGAAAUGCAUUUUCUGCAUUUAAAAAAAGAUAAGAGCCCGAACUAAGGCAUCAGCGGUGGCAGGAGACUAAACUGAAGAGUGCAAAAGAGAGAGCAUAAAUGGGGAGCAGGAGAGGGAGGAACAGGCUCCUUAUUGAGCUAGGAGCCAGAUACAGGCUCCAUCCCAGGACUCCAGGACCACGACCUGAGCUGAAGUAGACGUUUAACCAACUGAACCACCAGCAGGGCCAGAGGUCCUCGAAAGAGCAAGACGUGGAUUGGAGGAGAACCUACUGGCAUCUCUAUGUCUGCCACUGCUGCAUCUAGCCACGAUGGCCUGCGGAGAGUAAUGGCGGCUGCUUUACUUCUGCAUUCCGUAUCUCACAUGAAUUCCACUUUUGGCCAAAUCAAACCCAGAACCAUAUAGGGAAGUGGCUUUUUGGGAACCUAGGUCUAACCUAGCCAGGUUUUUGCAGUACAAAUCACCAUAUGAGUCAUUUUCAAAAUGCAGUUAUUAAGAGUUCAGAACCCAUGAAGAUGUUGUGAAAAGUAGAUGAGACCAAAAACAUAAAAGGAAAGCACUUAUCACAGUGUCUGGCACAUUGUGAACACCCAAUAAAUAAAUUCUCCUUUGUUUUCAAUCCAUUUCCUCUUACGUUUAUCUUCUACCUAAGCACUACUACCAGAUUUCUCACUGUCAUUGGCAUUGUAUCACCAAUGUUCAGGAUUAUUAGUAAAUGAUGUGGGAAGUGUUACAAUAAAAUAGAUAUUAUUUAUUGAGUAUUUAGUAGGUUACAUCCACGGCACCUUUGUAUGCAUCAACACAUAUGAUGCUUACAACAACCUUAUGAGCUAGGUACCAUCGCCAUUCACAUUAAAAGUUGAGGAAAUUGAAGUAAAAAGAUUAUUUACUUGGCCCAAACCUCACAGGAUUUAAACACAGUACCUGUUUGUUUACAGUGGAAUAAUGUAAGCCCAACCAUUUUAAAUACUCUGUUCCCAUUAGAAGUGGGAAUACCACCUGUAGGAGAAUUAUCUUCAGGCAUACAGCACCUUCAAAACUUGCAAAGGAGGGAAUCCCUGGGUGGCUCAGCAGUUUAGUGCCUGCCUUCGGCCCAGGGCAUGAUU